UUGGACCUGAUAUCAGA
This 17-nucleotide ribosomal RNA is filed under the name Phytopythium mercuriale. Its description in RNAcentral is "partial 28S ribosomal RNA". The record is from RNAcentral. Lineage: Eukaryota; Oomycota; Peronosporomycetes; Pythiales; Pythiaceae.